CACACACACACACACACACCCUGAAAGGGCUUUCCUUGUCUUAAGCCUCUGUGUAUGAAACACUCUGGAACCCACCGGCCUAGGUGUUAGAACAGCACCGAAGUUGCCAGGGCCAGGGGUCCAGCCAUCCUGACCUCUGCUAGCCACCCUGCAAGGGCCGAUGUUCCCACGCAGGAGGCCCCAGGGAGGUGGUACUGAGCAACCGGCCACACCCAAGGAAACAGCUCAGAGCUCAACUUCCUCCUGAAUUAGGCCACACCCGAGGCCUCCCGGGUCUCAUCCACGCCUCUGGGUCCAUCACUAAACAGAAGGCACAAUCCCACUAACUCUUACUCCAUCGCUGCUCAUGAAACUCCUGCCAGUAAGGACUGGGUCAAGCACCUGAAAACCAGAGCUCGUCCGUGGCUUCACUUGUUUUGGACUAAGGAGCUGAGGAGCGUGCAAGACUGUACUUGGAGAAUCUGUUUCUUGCUGCCAUUUCGUCACUGAACACUAUUUUUUUUCUCCUUCUUUUUUUGUAAGAAAAGGAGAACACAUAAAACCCCACCAGAACAAACUCCACUCGGCCCUGAAAGUAUUUACAAUCACGGCCCUGAAAGUACUGAAAGUAUUUACAAUCACGUUACAGUUCAUUCACUGCUGCAGAACCUCUCUCCAGCGAUCAAGGUCGAAGGGAGCCGACGUCGCCCUCUAUCGGCUCCCUGCUGCACUAGAAGGUUCUCCUGUCCCAGCCCCUGGGCUUGCCAGUGAUGCCCAGAGGAUGAUGUGCCUGGUGGCUGAGCUCUUCCAGAACUAAAGACGUGCGGAUCCCUGAGUAUCCAUAACCAUCAAAGCAUGAAGUAAUGCCUUGUAAGUGGUGUCACCACACCUCCCAGAAGAAGGAUGGAUUCCUACCAGAAGCAGUCAAACAUAGUGCCGGAUCAUCUAAGUGAAACGGAUCCCCAUGGGUGCUGCUAUUGGGAUACCAAAGGUCUGAAGUUCAUCCAAUGCAAUAGCAGAAAUAAUUACAUCUGUGAGCAUGUGAGAAGAACCCUGAGUUAGUCCCAAGUGCAAAUCACCAUCUCCAACCAAUUCCUCCACCAAUUGAUGGAUGUUGGGGAGUGGGGUACAGCAACCCCUCCAAGUCCUUCCUCCCUCUAUAUAGCCCAGGAGACUCCCCUCCCACCAGCCUGGCCCCCAGAGUGCUGACUGGCAACAAUAUUCCAAGUUAAAAUAGUUUGCUAAAUAGUUAUACAAUUAGUUUACAAUUCAAAUAUAUCAGAGGAAAAGACAGGGAAAAAAAUUCUAAGAUACAUGAAUCCCAGACCAUUGCUCUCCAAAUAUUUUCAAGUGAUUCAUCUCCUUUAUUUAAAAAAUGAAUUAACCACCAGAUGGGACACUCAUACAUUCCUGAUGGUUGUAGGAAUCAGUAGACCCUGUAUGGAAAGCAAUAGGAUAAUAUUUCAUAGGAUCAAAUUAAAAUGUUCACAGCAUUGGUUCCAGGAAAUUGGCUUCUGGAGAAUUUAUACUCCAGAAACAAUUCAACAAAAGAACACAGCUCUGUGCAUGCAGAUGCUCAUUAGCCCAUCACCUAGAGUAAGGGAAAGUGGAGAUCCCAAUGAACAACAAUGAGAUGGGUUAGCGAACUGUGACCUAUCAGCCCAAUGGACAUUUAAGCAAUCACUGAAAAGUAGAAACAUGAAGAUAUUACACAACAUGGAAACUGUUUAUGGAGUAUAUUUAGGUAAAAAGGAAAAAAAGGCAGAACUGUAUAUCUGUGGUUGGAUAUACUUUUUUUUUUUUAAUAUUAAGCACCAACCAAAAGAAGAAAGGAGGAUAGAAAAAAUAAAAUGGAAGAUGUAGGGUGGGCAGAUUAGGGCUGCGUUUGUUGCUUGCUUUCAUGUUACCAUCAUAGCGUUUUUGCCACUUACAAAGGAGGAAAAAAAUCAAUUCUGUGCCAACCCAGACAACAGAGACCUGAGUGGGGGUUGGGAAGAGAGAUUUUUCAGCACAGAAUCAGACUCCUUCUCCAAAGAGCUGUGUGGCCUUCACCUGCAAGGCGACCUCUUCCACAAGCAGAGGCCAGGACAAAAAGAGGCACCUGUGAGCGACAAAGACGGUUUCCUUGGUUUCCCUCACGGCGCCAAGCGGAGUGGCCGCCUCCCACCACAGGGCCCCCUAAUGGGCGCUUUUGUCCUGCGGGGCAGAGGGACCUCAUUAGAAGGCGCUGGUGCUAAAGGGAAAUGCAUUUCCAGAACAGGAGGUUUCAUCAUUCCUAGCGUUAGCGACAGAAUGGUGACAGAAGCUCUGUGGACGUAUUUUCCAGCGUUCAGUUCACAUCAAGGAUGGGUAUGCACUGGCGGAAAAGGUCAGCUCGCAGAAUGAUCGCCCAUCCACACAGCGUUUGGAGGUCAGACGUUCCUGAUGACUGUGAAAAUGGGGAGGUGAGAAGAGGUCGUCAAAGGGAGCAGCCUUUUAAAGCCAGGGUCGUGAGAAGAAGAGGCAAGGCGUUUGGUAAAUCGAAUUGAUUGAUGCCCAGAAGCAUUUGCGGGUUGCAGAGCUCACACUUUAAAGGGGGCCUGGGCACCCGGCUUGAGGGUCACCCGAACACACUACCCACGCGGCGAGGCGAGCGUGGGGAACAAUGGGCCCACCCGGGCCCCCACCCGGCGAACAAUGGCGGCGCCGAGCCCGUCUUCGCCCCCCAUCCCCACCCCCGCCACCCCCGCCCGGCCCGCCGCUCCCGGCCGCCUCUCCACCCGCCCGGGAGGGAACCAUAGUGCGCGGGGCGAGGGGUCUCUGGUCAGGUCCACCCGAGAGGCCAGCCCCGCGGGAAUGUCCGAGGGGGC
This 2828-nucleotide long non-coding RNA is filed under the name Homo sapiens (human). Its description in RNAcentral is "HSALNT0041278". Lineage: Eukaryota; Metazoa; Chordata; Mammalia; Primates; Hominidae. The record is from RNAcentral.